ACGUAGGAGGCGAGCGUUAUCCGGAUUUACUGGGCGUAAAGCGCGUGUAGGCGGUUCGGUGAGUUGGAUGUGAAAGCUCCUGGCUCAACUGGGAGAGGUCGUUCAAUACUACCGGACUUGAGAGCGAUAGAGGAAAAUGGAAUUCCCGGUGUAGUGGUGAAAUGCGUAGAUAUCGGGAGGAACACCAGUGGCGAAAGCGAUUUUCUGGAUCGUUUCUGACGCUCAGACGCGAAAGCGAGGGUAGCAAACAG
RNAcentral lists this ribosomal RNA (251 nucleotides) under uncultured prokaryote. RNAcentral describes it as "partial 16S ribosomal RNA". It matches the Rfam family "Bacterial small subunit ribosomal RNA", at positions 525 to 775 of the family's 1533-position model. The record is from RNAcentral.